Molecule: ribosomal RNA, 468 nt
Filed under: uncultured bacterium
Lineage: Bacteria
Description: partial 16S ribosomal RNA
Rfam family: Bacterial small subunit ribosomal RNA
Source: RNAcentral
GACGAACGCUGGCGGCGUGCUUAACACAUGCAAGUCGAACGGAAAGGCCCUGCUUUUGUGGGGUGCUCGAGUGGCGAACGGGUGAGUAACAUGUGAGUAACCUGCCCUUGACUUUGGGAUAACUUCGGGAAACUGGGGCUAAUACCGGAUAGGAGCUCCUGCUGCAUGGUGGGGGUUGGAAAGUUUCGGCGGUUGGGGAUGGACUCGCGGCUUAUCAGCUUGUUGGUGGGGUAGUGGCUUACCAAGGCUUUGACGGGUAGCCGGCCUGAGAGGGUGACCGGCCACAUUGGGACUGAGAUACGGCCCAGACUCCUACGGGAGGCAGCAGUGGGGAAUAUUGCACAAUGGGCGGAAGCCUGAUGCAGCAACGCCGCGUGCGGGAUGACGGCCUUCGGGUUGUAAACCGCUUUCGCCUGUGACGAAGCGUGAGUGACGGUAAUGGGUAAAGAAGCACCGGCUAACUACGUG